RNAcentral lists this ribosomal RNA (330 nucleotides) under uncultured bacterium. RNAcentral describes it as "bacterial SSU rRNA". It matches the Rfam family "Bacterial small subunit ribosomal RNA", at positions 28 to 350 of the family's 1533-position model. The record is from RNAcentral.
GAUAAACGCUGGCGGCGCACAUAAGACAUGCAAGUCGAACGGACUUAACUCAUUCUUUACGAUUGAGAGCGGUUAGUGGCGGACUGGUGAGUAACACGUAAGCAACCUGCCUAUCAGAGGGGAAUAACAGUGAGAAAUCAUUGCUAAUACCGCAUAUGCUAACAGUAUCGCAUGAUACAGUUAGGAAAGGAGCAAUCCGCUGAUAGAUGGGCUUGCGUCUGAUUAGCUAGUUGUGGGGUAACGCCUACCAAGGCGACGAUCAGUAGCCGGACUGAGAGGUUGAACGGCCACAUUGGGACUGAGAUACGGCCCAGACUCCUACGGGAGGCA